Lutzomyia longipalpis is the source of this 559-nucleotide long non-coding RNA. RefSeq lists it as uncharacterized. The record is from RefSeq and is a predicted model, not a curated record. Lineage: Eukaryota; Metazoa; Arthropoda; Insecta; Diptera; Psychodidae. The transcript has 2 exons.
UAUGAGGCAUAGUGAUUUUUUGUUAAUUUUAAUUUCUUGUUCCCAUUAUAUGAGUUUUUUUGCACUCUACUAUGCGUUGUCAUAAUAAAAAUUCAAAGGAAUAGUGUCUCGCGGUGUAUAACGUCUCUAAUUUGAUAUCACGAGACAGCCGGUGGAGCUAUUUAUUUAUUUAUUUAUUUUCUUGAGGAGUUUGAGAAGGCAGAAAGAGUGAAAGGCCUCAAAAAGGUGAUUAUACGAAAAAUCUUUUGCAGAGCUUGUUGUUGAGAAAUUGGAGGUAUUUAGCAUUAAAAGGUGUUUACGGCACUCACUUGUAGGUUGAUUGUACAAUGUACAUUAUUGCCCAUAUAUAUAAGUGCAUGAUUAGUGUAUUAAUUUACAAUUUACACACUCGCGUCCACGGCAAGGUGGAGCGAUAUUGAGUCUUGUUACAUUAGAAAUCAUUUUACGCCAUUCGCCACGGAGUCAAUAUUGGAUGAAUUAAAAUUGAUUUACAAUGCAGAAAGAAGAAUUAUUGUUAAAUCCCGCGCGAAAUGCAAUUUCCGAACAUUGCAAAAUGAGA